Pseudobutyrivibrio ruminis is the source of this 183-nucleotide non-coding RNA. It matches the Rfam family "6S / SsrS RNA". From Rfam's summary of the family: E. coli 6S RNA was the first non coding RNA to be sequenced, but its function was unknown until recently. It consists of 184 nucleotides that fold into an extended hairpin structure with a large single-stranded internal bulge. The record is from Rfam. NCBI's taxonomy places the organism in Bacteria, Bacillati, Bacillota, Clostridia, Lachnospirales, Lachnospiraceae.
UCUAACCUGGGAUGUACGAUUUAACUUAUCCUUUUUGAACCUACAUUUACUUUAAACGGAAUGCCUAUAUUUCUAAUUGGCUGUCAGGCCUUCAUUGCGCAGAGGAAGACAAAAAAUUAGUUGCGGCGAUCCACCUAGCUAGAGCUAGGAGUCAAUUGAUAGGCCCGGCACUCUGGGUUAGAU